CUUAGUGGCGAACGGGUGAGUAACGCGUGAGUAACCUGCCCUGGAGUGGGGGACAACAGUUGGAAACGACUACUAAUACCGCAUAAGCCCACGGAUCCGCAUGGAUCUGCGGGAAAAGGAUUUAUUCGCUUCAGGAUGGACUCGCGUCCAAUUAGCUAGUUGGUGAGGUAACGGCCCACCAAGGCGACGAUUGGUAGCCGGACUGAGAGGUUGAACGGCCACAUUGGGACUGAGACACGGCCCAGACUCCUACGGGAGGCAGCAUG
This 266-nucleotide ribosomal RNA is filed under the name uncultured bacterium. RNAcentral's name for it is "partial 16S ribosomal RNA". It matches the Rfam family "Bacterial small subunit ribosomal RNA", at positions 91 to 353 of the family's 1533-position model. The record is from RNAcentral.